CAAGAUCCCAAUUUUGACUGAUAACAAAUUGCAAGGUGAUCUAUUGUUCAGAUUGGCAGGUAUGUGUAAAGCUGGCAAAUUUCAAAUCCAAUCUCUAUAUCACUCUUUGCUCCCAGUUUUCCCUAGGGUGGAAUGGAAGAACUUAAUGGCUACAACUAAUGUCUUGCCUAGACAUAAGUUUACUACAUGGCUGGCUGCUCAUGGUCGACUGCCUACUGUCGACAGAUUGUUGAAGUUUGGAAUAAGUGUAGAGGAAAAACGUGUAUUCUGUCAACAGGCUGUUGAAGAAUUUGAUCAUUCAUACUUUACCUGUCCAGCUACAAGUAUGAUAUGGUACAAAAUUUGCUGCUGGUUGGGAUGCAACAGAACAAUAGGAUGCUAGAAUGAUGAACUCCUAUGGAUUUGUUGCCUUGCUAGGAGUAAAGUGUGGAAAAAGGCUGUGGUGGCCACUGCUUUUGUCACCACAGUAUCACUUAUCUGGAGGAGCAGGAAUGCUAUCAGAUUCGAGGGGAAGUCUUAUGAUGAAAAUCAUGUUUGCCGAGAGAUUUCAAUACUUAUACAUGCUCGGGGCAGGAAAUGUAAGAAAUGGCAAAAGGGACAGGAAUACUAUCAUAUUCGAGGGGAAGUCUUAUGAUGAAAAUCAUGUCUGCCGAGAGAUUGCAAUACUUAUACAUGCUCGGGGCAGGAAAUGUAAGAAAUGACAAAAGGGGCU
This 712-nucleotide long non-coding RNA is filed under the name Nicotiana benthamiana. RNAcentral describes it as "long non-coding RNA (NBEN_LNC030468)". The record is from RNAcentral. Lineage: Eukaryota; Viridiplantae; Streptophyta; Magnoliopsida; Solanales; Solanaceae.